UAUUUCCUGCGGCGUUCGAAAGUGGGCUGGGUGUUUCCUGAACCUAUAUUGACCCCGGGGACGAAUAUUUAUCAUGGUGUGUAAGCCCAUUCAGUUGGGAAACCCGAUUGAUAGAAAGCGUCCCCACUUGAACCUUCGGUUCAAGGACGAAAGCACAUAGCGGCGCACGCGGGUCAUAC
Molecule: non-coding RNA, 179 nt
Filed under: Crenothrix sp. D3
Lineage: Bacteria; Pseudomonadati; Pseudomonadota; Gammaproteobacteria; Methylococcales; Crenotrichaceae
Also listed under: 1 other name
Description: 6S RNA
Rfam family: 6S / SsrS RNA
About the family: E. coli 6S RNA was the first non coding RNA to be sequenced, but its function was unknown until recently. It consists of 184 nucleotides that fold into an extended hairpin structure with a large single-stranded internal bulge.
Source: RNAcentral